UGCAAGUCGAGGGAGAACGGGGGGCUUCGGUUCCCCUAGUAAACCGGCGCACGGGUGAGUAACACGUAGGUAACCUACCUUCGAGACUGGGAUAACCUAUCGAAAGAUGGGCUAAUACCGGAUAGGACCACGGGAGUUUCGGCUCCUGAGGUGAAAGAUGGCCUCUGCAUGCAAGCUAUCACUCGGGGAUGGGCCUGCGCGCCAUUAGCUAGUUGGUGAGGUAACGGCUCACCAAGGCUACGAUGGCUAGUUGGUCUGAGAGGAUGACCAGCCACACUGGGACUGAGACACGGCCCAGACUCCUACGGGAGGCAGCAGUGGGGAAUAUUGCGCAAUGGGGGAAACCCUGACGCAGCGACGCCGCGUGGGUGAUGAAGGCCUUCGGGUCGUAAAGUCCUGUCGGAGGGGAAGGGGGGGUGGGGGUGCGAAUAGUUCCGAAGUCUGACGGUACCCUUAAAGGAAGCACCGGCUAACUCCGUGCCAGCAGCCGCGGUAAUACGGAGGGUGCAAGCGUUGCUCGGAAUUACUGGGCGUAAAGCGCGUGUAGGCGGUCUCGUAUGUCUGGCGUGAAAGCCCCGGGCUCACCCCGGGAAGUGCGUUGGAAACUGCGAGACUGGAGUCCCGGAGAGGAAGGUGGAAUUCCAGGUGUAGCGGUGAAAUGCGUAGAUAUCUGGAAGAACACCGGUGGCGAAAGGCGGCC
RNAcentral lists this ribosomal RNA (700 nucleotides) under uncultured bacterium. RNAcentral's name for it is "bacterial SSU rRNA". It matches the Rfam family "Bacterial small subunit ribosomal RNA", at positions 56 to 726 of the family's 1533-position model. The record is from RNAcentral.